RNAcentral lists this ribosomal RNA (464 nucleotides) under Streptococcus sp. oral taxon 070. RNAcentral describes it as "bacterial SSU rRNA". It matches the Rfam family "Bacterial small subunit ribosomal RNA", at positions 28 to 474 of the family's 1533-position model. Lineage: Bacteria; Bacillati; Bacillota; Bacilli; Lactobacillales; Streptococcaceae. The record is from RNAcentral.
GACGAACGCUGGCGGCGUGCCUAAUACAUGCAAGUAGAACGCUGAAGCUUGGUGCUUGCACCGAGCGGAUGAGUUGCGAACGGGUGAGUAACGCGUAGGUAACCUGCCUGGUAGCGGGGGAUAACUAUUGGAAACGAUAGCUAAUACCGCAUAAAAUGGAUUAUCGCAUGAUAAUCGAUUGAAAGGUGCAAAUGCAUCACUACCAGAUGGACCUGCGUUGUAUUAGCUAGUUGGUGGGGUAACGGCUCACCAAGGCGACGAUACAUAGCCGACCUGAGAGGGUGAUCGGCCACACUGGGACUGAGACACGGCCCAGACUCCUACGGGAGGCAGCAGUAGGGAAUCUUCGGCAAUGGACGGAAGUCUGACCGAGCAACGCCGCGUGAGUGAAGAAGGUUUUCGGAUCGUAAAGCUCUGUUGUAAGAGAAGAACGAGUGUGAGAGUGGAAAGUUCACACUGUGACG